This 253-nucleotide ribosomal RNA is filed under the name uncultured bacterium. RNAcentral's name for it is "partial 16S ribosomal RNA". It matches the Rfam family "Bacterial small subunit ribosomal RNA", at positions 524 to 776 of the family's 1533-position model. The record is from RNAcentral.
UACGUAGGGGGCAAGCGUUGUCCGGAUUUAUUGGGCGUAAAGAGCGUGUAGGCGGUUAGGUAGGUCCGUUGUGAAAACUCGAGGCUCAACCUCGAGACGCCGAUGGAAACCAUCUGACUAGAGUCCGGAAGAGGAGAGUGGAAUUCCUGGUGUAGCGGUGAAAUGCGCAGAUAUCAGGAAGAACACCAAUGGCGAAGGCAGCUCUCUGGGACGGUACUGACGCUGAGACGCGAAAGCGUGGGGAGCGAACAGG